UGGGGAAUAUUGCACAAUGGGGGAAACCCUGAUGCAGCGACGCCGCGUGAGCGAAGAAGGCUUUCGAGUCGUAAAGCUCUGUCCUAUGAGAAGAUAAUGACGGUAUCAUAGGAGGAAGCCCUGGCUAAAUACGUGCCAGCAGCCGCGGUAAUACGUAUGGGGCGAGCGUUGUCCGGAAUUAUUGGGCGUAAAGGGUACGUAGGCGGUUUUUUAAGUCAGGUGUCAAAGCGUGGAGCUUAACUCCAUUAAGCACUUGAAACUGAUAGACUUGAGUGAAGGAGAGGAAAGUGGAAUUCCUAGUGUAGCGGUGAAAUGCGUAGAUAUUAGGAGGAAUACCGGUGGCGAAGGCGGCUUUCUGGACUUUUACUGACGCUCAGGUACGAAAGCGUGGGGAGCAAACAGG
Molecule: ribosomal RNA, 403 nt
Filed under: Verrucomicrobiota bacterium
Lineage: Bacteria; Pseudomonadati; Verrucomicrobiota
Description: Verrucomicrobia bacterium partial 16S ribosomal RNA
Rfam family: Bacterial small subunit ribosomal RNA
Source: RNAcentral